This 495-nucleotide ribosomal RNA is filed under the name uncultured bacterium. RNAcentral's name for it is "partial 16S ribosomal RNA". It matches the Rfam family "Bacterial small subunit ribosomal RNA", at positions 28 to 507 of the family's 1533-position model. The record is from RNAcentral.
GACGAACGCUGGCGGCGUGCCUAAUACAUGCAAGUAGAACGCUGAAGGAGGAGCUUGCUUCUCUGGAUGAGUUGCGAACGGGUGAGUAACGCGUAGGUAACCUGCCUGGUAGCGGGGGAUAACUAUUGGAAACGAUAGCUAAUACCGCAUAAUAGUAGAUGUUGCAUGACAUUUGCUUAAAAGGUGCAAUUGCAUCACUACCAGAUGGACCUGCGUUGUAUUAGCUAGUUGGUGGGGUAACGGCUCACCAAGGCGACGAUACAUAGCCGACCUGAGAGGGUGAUCGGCCACACUGGGACUGAGACACGGCCCAGACUCCUACGGGAGGCAGCAGUAGGGAAUCUUCGGCAAUGGACGGAAGUCUGACCGAGCAACGCCGCGGGAGUGAAGAAGGUUUUCGGAUCGUAAAGCUCGGUUGUAAGAGAAGAACGAGUGUGAGAGUGGAAAGUUCACACUGUGACGGUAUCUUACCAGAAAGGGACGGCUAACUACGUG